CAGUCGCCGCGGGAAUACGGAGGGUGCAAGCGUUAAUCGGAAUUACUGGGCGUAAAGCGUACGUAGGCGGCUUGUCAAGUCAGAUGUGAAAUCCCCGAGCUUAACCUAGGAACUGCAUUUGAAACUGGGAGGCUAGAGUAUUGGAGAGGGGGGUAGAAUUCCAGGUGUAGCGGUGAAAUGCGUAGAGAUCUGGAGGAAUACCGGUGGCGAAGGCAGCCACCUGGACAAAGACUGACGCUGAGGUGCGAAAGCGUGGGGAGCAAACAGGAUUAGAUACCCGUGUAGUCCCUGUCUCUUAUAC
This 301-nucleotide ribosomal RNA is filed under the name uncultured bacterium. RNAcentral's name for it is "partial 16S ribosomal RNA". It matches the Rfam family "Bacterial small subunit ribosomal RNA", at positions 509 to 807 of the family's 1533-position model. The record is from RNAcentral.